CAAAAGUUUUCCGUUUUAUCCAUACAAUAGAAAAAUUAGUUUUACAUAAUUUGAAUGUGUGCUCACAUGAGCUUGUAAACUUCUCUCAUGUGUCCACACAAGGGCGGAGGGAAGAUUCUUUCUGUGAAGAAACCUAUUUUGUAUGAAGUUGUAGUUGAUUUUAUCGGACUGGGAAGUGAUGGAUGCACCAAGGACACAACAGUGAAGAUGUUUUUGAAUUUCGUGCUGUAGCUAAAUGAACGAUUAUUAGAUAUUGGAGUUGAGUCAAAGCACGGUUUUGAACGAUUAUCAGUGAUUGUCCUAGAUCAAUGGGUGAUUUAUGUGCAAAUGCUACAGUCGAAGACAUGCAGUUGCUUGCCGUCGAUGAAGCGACAUCAACAUGGGUAGCUGAUCCAGUCAUCUGUUAGUCUGUUCGUCUUUCUUCCUUGCACUUUGUUCUUCAGUCAUGUGUUGGGCAUCCUUCCCCAUGCUACUGACUCUAUGGUGUCGCUGGCCCAUGCUUCUGACUCUCCAGACAUAUACUCACUUCUUAGAAAUCCCAUGGCAAUUGCUUUCAUGUGAAUUUUGGUUAGUACUCCGUAUUUAUGAUGCUGCUGGCCUCAUUGCUCUGAAUAUACUACCACACUGCAUGAUAAAAUCAACAAUGACUUUUCUUAAUGCAUGUAAAUUAUCGCUUCUCUGUAAUGUUUGAUGUCAAUUUAUUCCAUGACAA
Molecule: long non-coding RNA, 712 nt
Organism: Triticum dicoccoides
Lineage: Eukaryota; Viridiplantae; Streptophyta; Magnoliopsida; Poales; Poaceae
Exons: 3
Source: RefSeq, a predicted model, not a curated record